Molecule: long non-coding RNA, 372 nt
Filed under: Drosophila guanche
Lineage: Eukaryota; Metazoa; Arthropoda; Insecta; Diptera; Drosophilidae
Source: RNAcentral
GUCGCUACGAAAUCUGGGCUCCUUUUCCCAAUGUAACACAACCAUGCACCAUGCGAGUGCGGAUGGCCCCUAGGGGACCCGUUACGACAAAAACGGUGUGGACGUGGCUUUUACAGCUCUUUCAACCUGGAUGGAGAUGGAAGUGGGAUUCUCUCGGAGAUGGGUAACAGGAUUAUCGUUAGGGACCUGACAGGAAGCGGCAGUGCCAGUGCUCAUUUUUAUUACAUGUAAUCCCUCUCCCCUGGCGGCUGCGGGCAUUCACUUCCACCAGUGGAGCCGUAGGUUCUCCUCCUGGUGUACGGCUACAGCUCCUCCAGCUGGCGGCCAACUCGGAACACUCUGGGGUCCGCCGGCUGCGUGCACAAAAGUAAC